GUACUUCUGAGGAGUCCCACCAUAGGACGAAACGGCGGUCGAGUAC
This is a non-coding RNA of Schistosoma rodhaini, 46 nucleotides long. The record is from Rfam. Lineage: Eukaryota; Metazoa; Platyhelminthes; Trematoda; Strigeidida; Schistosomatidae.